RNAcentral lists this ribosomal RNA (497 nucleotides) under uncultured bacterium. Its description in RNAcentral is "partial 16S ribosomal RNA". It matches the Rfam family "Bacterial small subunit ribosomal RNA", at positions 28 to 507 of the family's 1533-position model. The record is from RNAcentral.
GAUGAACGCUGGCGGCGUGCCUAAUACAUGCAAGUCGAGCGAACAGACGAGGAGCUUGCUCCUCUGACGUUAGCGGCGGACGGGUGAGUAACACGUGGAUAACCUACCUAUAAGACUGGGAUAACUUCGGGAAACCGGAGCUAAUACCGGAUAAUAUAUUGAUCCGCAUGGUUCAAUAGUGAAAGACGGUUUUGCUGUCACUUAUAGAUGGAUCCGCGCCGCAUUAGCUAGUUGGUAAGGUAACGGCUUACCAAGGCAACGAUGCGUAGCCGACCUGAGAGGGUGAUCGGCAACAAGGGAACUGAGACACGGUCCAGACUCCUACGGGAGGCAGCAGUAGGGAAUCUUCCGCAAUGGGCGAAAGCCUGACGGAGCAAAGCCGCGUGAGUGAUGAAGGUCUUCGGAUCGUAAAACUCUGUUAGUAGGGAAGAACAAAUGUGUAAGUAACUAUGCACGUAUUGACGGUACCUAAUCAGAAAGCCACGGCUAACUACGCG